AUUGAACGCUGGCGACAUGCCUUACACAUGCAAGUCGAACGGCAGCACGGGUGCUUGCACCUGGUGGCGAGUGGCGAACGGGUGAGUAAUACAUCGGAACAUGUCCUGUAGUGGGGGAUAGCCCGGCGAAAGCCGGAUUAAUACCGCAUACGAUCUACGGAUGAAAGCGGGGGACCUUCGGGCCUCGCGCUAUAGGGUUGGCCGAUGGCUGAUUAGCUGGUUGGUGGGGUAAAGGCCUACCAAGGCGACGAUCAGUAGCUGGUCUGAGAGGACGACCAGCCACACUGGGACUGAGACACGGCCCAGACUCCUACGGGAGGCAGCAGUGGGGAAUUUUGGACAAUGGGCGAAAGCCUGAUCCAGCAAUGCCGCGUGUGUGAAGAAGGCCUUCGGGUUGUAAAGCACUUUUGUCCGGAAAGAAAUCCUUGGCCCUAAUACGGUCGGGGGAUGACGGUACCGGAAGAAUAAGCACCGGCUAACUACGUG
RNAcentral lists this ribosomal RNA (486 nucleotides) under uncultured bacterium. RNAcentral's name for it is "partial 16S ribosomal RNA". It matches the Rfam family "Bacterial small subunit ribosomal RNA", at positions 30 to 507 of the family's 1533-position model. The record is from RNAcentral.